GACGAACGCUGGCGGCGUGCCUAAUACAUGCAAGUAGAACGCACAGUUUAUACCGUAGCUUGCUACACCAUAGACUGUGAGUUGCGAACGGGUGAGUAACGCGUAGGUAACCUGCCUGGUAGCGGGGGAUAACUAUUGGAAACGAUAGCUAAUACCGCAUAAUAUUGAUUAUUGCAUGAUAAUUGAUUGAAAGAUGCUAUUGCAUCACUACCAGAUGGACCUGCGUUGUAUUAGCUAGUAGGUGAGGUAACGGCUCACCUAGGCGACGAUACAUAGCCGACCUGAGAGGGUGAUCGGCCACACUGGGACUGAGACACGGCCCAGACUCCUACGGGAGGCAGCAGUAGGGAAUCUUCGGCAAUGGACGAAAGUCUGACCGAGCAACGCCGCGUGAGUGAAGAAGGUUUUCGGAUCGUAAAGCUCUGUUGUAAGAGAAGAACGGGUGUGGGAGUGGAAAGUUCACACUGUGACGAUAUCUUACCAGAAAGGGACGGCUAACUACGUG
RNAcentral lists this ribosomal RNA (505 nucleotides) under uncultured bacterium. RNAcentral describes it as "partial 16S ribosomal RNA". It matches the Rfam family "Bacterial small subunit ribosomal RNA", at positions 28 to 507 of the family's 1533-position model. The record is from RNAcentral.